UACGGAAGGCAGCAGUGGGGAAUAUUGCACAAUGGGCGAAAGCCUGAUGCAGCUAUGCCGCGUGUAUGAAGAAGGCCUUAGGGUUGUAAAGUACUUUCAUCGGGGAGGAAAAAACAAAACUAAUAAUUUUAUUUCUUGACGUUACCCGAAAAAGAAGCACCGGCUAACUCCGUGCCAGCAGUCGCGGUAAUACGGAGGGUGCUAGCGUUAAUCAGAAUUACUGGGCGUAAAGAGCACGUAGGUGGUUUUUUUAAGUCAGAUGUGAAAUCCCUGGGCUUAACCUAGGAACUGCAUUUUGAAACUGAAAUACUAGAGUAUCGUAGAGGGAGGUAGAAUUCUAGGUGUAGCGGUGAAAUGCGUAGAUAUCUGGAGGAAUACCUGUGGCGAAAGCGGCCUCCUAAACGAAUACUGACACUGAGGUGCGAAAGCGUGGGGAGCAAACAGGGAUUAGAUACC
RNAcentral lists this ribosomal RNA (456 nucleotides) under uncultured bacterium. Its description in RNAcentral is "bacterial SSU rRNA". It matches the Rfam family "Bacterial small subunit ribosomal RNA", at positions 340 to 786 of the family's 1533-position model. The record is from RNAcentral.